GAUGAACGCUAGCGGCAGGCUUAAUACAUGCAAGUCGAGGGGCAGCAGGGGUAGCAAUACCCGCUGGCGACCGGCAAACGGGUGCGGAACACGUACACAACCUUCCUUUAAGUGGGGGAUAGCCCAGAGAAAUUUGGAUUAAUACCCCGUAAUAUUAUUUAGUGGCAUCAUUAGGUAAUUAAAGCUCCGGCGCUUAGAGAUGGGUGUGCGGCUGAUUAGGUAGUUGGUGAGGUAACGGCCCACCAAGCCUUCGAUCAGUAACUGGUGUGAGAGCACGACCAGUCACACGGGCACUGAGACACGGGCCCGACUCUACGGGAGGCAGCAGUAAGGAAUAUUGGUCAAUGGACGCAAGUCUGAACCAGCCAUGCCGCGUGGAGGAUGAAGGUCCUCUGGAUUAGUAAACUUUCUUUUAUCUAGGGAAGAAACCCUAUUUUUUCUUAAAGUAGGUUGACGGUACCAGAAGAAUAAGCACCGGCUAACUCCGUG
RNAcentral lists this ribosomal RNA (489 nucleotides) under uncultured bacterium. Its description in RNAcentral is "bacterial SSU rRNA". It matches the Rfam family "Bacterial small subunit ribosomal RNA", at positions 28 to 507 of the family's 1533-position model. The record is from RNAcentral.